This is a long non-coding RNA of Bos taurus (domestic cattle), 1086 nucleotides long. The record is from Ensembl. Lineage: Eukaryota; Metazoa; Chordata; Mammalia; Artiodactyla; Bovidae.
GUAAGUGGAGGCUGAAAAGAGGUCCAGACACUGUGCAUCUGGAGGGAUAAGUGUAGGUGGAUGAUCAAAGUCACAUAUCAGUGACUGGGGCCUAAUGGUGGGGAAUUCUGCCAGGGGACCCAGGGCAAGGCAGAUGGACCCCAGUGAACUAUGCAACACAGCCAGCAUCCAUGGCCAUUGCUUCCCUGCCUUCAACUACAGGGAAAUGGAAUGCGCAUUCACAAAAUGCGACUGUGUCUCACAAGAGAACUCCUGAGCUGCUUUAGAGUCUAAAGCAAUGCAGCGCCAGCUUAGACAAGUUCUCACAAGCCUUCGCAUCCCGCAUCCUUUGAAGGUCUGGAGCAAGACACAUUUGGAAUAUUCUCUUGGGAGAAGCAGUUUGAGCUUGUAGCACAGACACCCCUGGCCUUGCCUCCUCUGACCUUUCAUACCCAGACCCCAUCAAAGCUUCAGGAAACGAAAAGAGACAACCAUGUCCUGCACACAGAUAACAACAAGCUGAAAGACAAAGAGAGGAAUUUCUCUGAAGUUCUAUCCUGGACAUGGGAGGGGGACAAAGAGGGUGAGAAGAAGCUUGAAGCAAAGCAGAAGUGUGUUCUGGGGAGUCCGCAUUCAGCCUCAGAGCACAGCUGUGAGUGAGCCCGCGCGGGCCAGGUGCUGGUCCCCCACCUGCAUCCUUGGCGCGCAUCCUUUGGUAACCCCCACAAUGCACUGCAACACUGCUGUCCCGCACCUCCCCUUGGCUCGUGCCCAGUGUUAUAAGCCACGUUCACACUCCUGCAGCACAGAGAGCAACACAGGCAGGACAAGCUUUUGAGGACCCAGGGACCCACUGCUGACAGCCCUGGGUGCCUGGUAGGGAAAGAAAAUGUUUUGUUUGCCUUUGUGUUUUGUUCACAGAGCCUCCUUUCCCAGCCCCGUUCACCUUAACAGCAUCCCUUGAAGCCACAAAGCAGCUUAAGCAUGCUGCCUUUUAAAACUUUGAACGAGGCUGGUUGGAUUCCUUGUGUUAAAAUCGUUUUCCUCCUUUAAGAGCUGAAAGGCGCUUCCCUGCUCAGCCUGGUUUUAAAACCCUCACAACUAAGC